RNAcentral lists this ribosomal RNA (497 nucleotides) under uncultured bacterium. RNAcentral's name for it is "partial 16S ribosomal RNA". It matches the Rfam family "Bacterial small subunit ribosomal RNA", at positions 28 to 507 of the family's 1533-position model. The record is from RNAcentral.
GAUGAACGCUGGCGGCGUGCCUAAUACAUGCAAGUCGAGCGAACGGACGAGAAGCUUGCUUCUCUGAUGUUAGCGGCGGACGGGUGAGUAACACGUGGAUAACCUACCUAUAAGACUGGGAUAACUUCGGGAAACCGAAGCUAAUACCGGAUGAUAUUUUGAACCGCAUGGUUCAAAAGUGAAAGACGGUCUUGCUGUCACUUAUAGAUGGAUCCGCGCUGCAUUAGCUAGUUGGUAAGGUAACGGCUUACCAAGGCAACGAUGCAUAGCCGACCUGAGAGGGUGAUCGGCCACACUGGAACUGAAACACGGUCCAGACUCCUACGGGAGGCAGCAGUAGGGAAUCUUCCGCAAUGGGCGAAAGCCUGACGGAGCAACGCCGCGUGAGUGAUGAAGGUCUUCGGAUCGUAAAACUCUGUUAUUAGGGAAGAACAUAUGUGUAAGUAACUGUGCACAUCUUGACGGUACCUAAUCAGAAAGCCACGGCUAACUACGUG